CAGAGUGAGGGUCUCCGAACGGGGGCCCAAUCUUCCACCCGUGUUUAACUGUACCAUGUUGCUUCGGCGGGCCCACUAGGACGCAGCUCCUGGUCGCUGAGGGGAUAUCUCCCCUGGGCCAGUGCCCGCCGGAGAUUUUAUCAAUACUCUGAAUUUUCAAAUAGUUUUUGACUGAGUGAUAUUGAAAAAAAAAUUA
RNAcentral lists this unclassified non-coding RNA (196 nucleotides) under uncultured Eurotiomycetes. RNAcentral's name for it is "sequence contains ITS1". Lineage: Eukaryota; Fungi; Ascomycota; Eurotiomycetes. The record is from RNAcentral.